CUGACGGCGAAGGGGCAGAACCCUUCUCCGCAACAUCUACUCCGAAAGCCCCACGAGCGCCCAGCAGCCACUCAGAACUGUCCGCCCCGCUUCCCACACCGGCCAGGGCAGGAGCGUGUGGGAGUCAGAACGGACAGCUGCGGGGUCACUGCGGCUCCCAUCUCAACUUUUCUGCAUCUGCAGACUCUGCUCAGGCCCCCCAGGAAGCUGCCACCUGCCAGCACGAGUGCAAAGCCAACGCCUCCUCAGCCCCGGGAGCUUUGCCUCGGCCACUGCAGGAGCGGUCCCCUGCCAAGGCCCUUCUCCUCUGAAGAAACACAACCGAGACCACGUGAGAAGUAGCUACAGUUUAAUACAAACCUGCACCAGAA
Myotis lucifugus (little brown bat) is the source of this 371-nucleotide long non-coding RNA. RefSeq lists it as uncharacterized. The transcript has 2 exons. NCBI's taxonomy places the organism in Eukaryota, Metazoa, Chordata, Mammalia, Chiroptera, Vespertilionidae. The record is from RefSeq and is a predicted model, not a curated record.